This 265-nucleotide ribosomal RNA is filed under the name uncultured prokaryote. RNAcentral's name for it is "partial 16S ribosomal RNA". It matches the Rfam family "Bacterial small subunit ribosomal RNA", at positions 524 to 788 of the family's 1533-position model. The record is from RNAcentral.
UACGGAGGAUGCGAGCGUUAUCCGGAUUUAUUGGGUUUAAAGGGUGCGCAGACGGAACUGCAAGUCUGAUGUGAAAUCCCGGGGCUCAACCGCGGGACUGCAUUGGAAACUGUAGAUCUGGAGUGCCGGAGGGGCAAGCGGAAUUCCUGGUGUAGCGGUGAAAUGCGUAGAUAUCAGGAGGAACACCGGCGGCGAAGGCGGCUUGCUGGACGGCAACUGACGUUGAGGCUCGAAAGCGUGGGGAGCAAACAGGAUUAGAUACCCU